This 30-nucleotide non-coding RNA is filed under the name Homo sapiens (human). The record is from RNAcentral. Lineage: Eukaryota; Metazoa; Chordata; Mammalia; Primates; Hominidae.
CACCAGAGAUGAAAGUUCCGCCUGGGCUGC